CGGCAGCACAGUGUGUAGCAAUUACACAUGGGUUGGCGAGUGGCGGACGGGUGAGUAAUACGUGGGAACCUGCCCAAUAGUGGGGGAUAGCCCGGGGAAACUCGGAUUAAUACCGCAUACGCCCUUCGGGGGAAAGCGGGGGAUCGUAAGACCUCGCGCUUCUGGAUGGGCCCACGUCCGAUUAGCUAGUUGGUAGGGUAACGGCCUACCAAGGCGAUGAUCAGUAGGGGGCGUGAGAGCGUGGUCCCCCACACGGGUACUGAGACACGGACCCGACUCCUACGGGAGGCAGCAGUAAGGAAUAUUGGACAAUGGCCGCAAGGCUGAUCCAGCCAUCCAGCGUGCAGGAAGAAGGCCCUAUGGGUUGUAAACUGCUUUUAUCAGGGAAGAAACCUUUCGAUUUAUCGGGAGCUGACGGUACCUGAAGAAUAAGCACCGGCUAACUACGUGCCAGCAGCCGCGGUAAUACGUAGGGUGCAGGCGUUAAUCGGAAUUACUGGGCGUAAAGCGUGCGCAGGCGGCUCCUUAAGUCAGAUGUGAAAUCCCCGGGCUUAACCUGGGAACUGCGUUUGAAACUGGGGAGCUGGAGUGUGGAGAGGAGGUGGAAUUCCAGGUGUAGCAGUGAAAUGCGUAGAGAUCUNAGGAACACCGAUGGCGAAGGCAGCCCC
Molecule: ribosomal RNA, 668 nt
Filed under: uncultured bacterium
Lineage: Bacteria
Description: bacterial SSU rRNA
Rfam family: Bacterial small subunit ribosomal RNA
Source: RNAcentral